This 199-nucleotide ribosomal RNA is filed under the name uncultured bacterium. Its description in RNAcentral is "partial 16S ribosomal RNA". It matches the Rfam family "Bacterial small subunit ribosomal RNA", at positions 1302 to 1500 of the family's 1533-position model. The record is from RNAcentral.
AGGCUGCAACUCGCCUACAUGAAGUCGGAAUUGCUAGUAAUCGCGGAUCAGCAUGCCGCGGUGAAUACGUUCCCGGGCCUUGUACACACCGCCCGUCACACCAUGAGAGCCGGUAACACCCGAAGUCAGUAGCCUAACCGCAAGGGGGGCGCUGCCGAAGGUGGGAUUGGUAAUUGGGGUGAAGUCGUAACAAGGUAGC